AACGAACGCUGGCGGCAGGCUUAACACAUGCAAGUCGAGCGAGGGCUUCGGCCCUAGCGGCGGACGGGUGAGUAACGCGUGGGAACGUGCCCUUCUCUCUGGAAUAGCCCUGGGAAACCGGGAGUAAUGCCGGAUACGCCCGCCUCGAGUAGAUCGGGGCGGGAAAGAUUAAUCGGGGAAGGAUCGGCCCGCGUCGGAUUAGGUAGUUGGUGGGGUAACGGCCCACCAAGCCGACGAUCCGUAGCUGGUUUGAGAGGAUGAUCAGCCACACUGGGACUGAGACACGGCCCAGACUCCUACGGGUGGCUGU
This 310-nucleotide ribosomal RNA is filed under the name uncultured Pseudomonadota bacterium. Its description in RNAcentral is "bacterial SSU rRNA". It matches the Rfam family "Bacterial small subunit ribosomal RNA", at positions 28 to 352 of the family's 1533-position model. Lineage: Bacteria; Pseudomonadati; Pseudomonadota. The record is from RNAcentral.